GCCGGUUUGGACGGUUUGGUGAAACUUUCAACAUGGAUUUCGUGACCACAACAAGGACGGUGGUCAUGGAAAUCGAAAUCCGCUAAGGAGUGUGUAACAACUCACCUGCCGAAUCAACUAGCCCCGUAAAUGGAUGGCGCUGAAGAGCGCGACCUAUACCCGGCCGUCGGGGCAAGAGCCAGGCCUCGAUG
Molecule: ribosomal RNA, 191 nt
Filed under: Brassica oleracea var. oleracea
Lineage: Eukaryota; Viridiplantae; Streptophyta; Magnoliopsida; Brassicales; Brassicaceae
Description: rRNA LSU_rRNA_eukarya
Rfam family: Eukaryotic large subunit ribosomal RNA
Source: Rfam by way of RNAcentral